RNAcentral lists this ribosomal RNA (440 nucleotides) under uncultured bacterium. RNAcentral's name for it is "partial 16S ribosomal RNA". It matches the Rfam family "Bacterial small subunit ribosomal RNA", at positions 338 to 795 of the family's 1533-position model. The record is from RNAcentral.
CCUACGGGUGGCAGCAGUGGGGAAUAUUGCACAAUGGGGGAAACCCUGAUGCAGCGACGCCGCGUGAAUGAAGAAGUAUUUCGGUAUGUAAACUUCUAUCAGCAGGGAAGAAAAUGAUGGUACCUGACUAAUAAGCGCCGGCUAACUACGUGCCAGCAGACGCGGUAAUACGUAGGGGGCAAGCGUUAUCCGGAUUUACUGGGUGUAAAGGGAACGGAGGCUGGUUAGCAUGUCAGAAGGGAAAGCCCGGGGCUGAAACUCGGGACUGCUUUUGAAACUGUUGAACUAGAGUGCAGGAGAGGUAAGUAGAAUUCCAAGUGUAGCGGUGAAAUGCGUAGAUAUUAGGAGGAACACCAGUGGCGAAGGCGGCUCACUGGACUGUAAAUGACGCUGAGGUUCGAAAGCGUGGGGAGCAAACAGGAUUAGAUACCCUUGUAGUC